Molecule: microRNA precursor, 76 nt
Organism: Bos grunniens (domestic yak)
Lineage: Eukaryota; Metazoa; Chordata; Mammalia; Artiodactyla; Bovidae
Source: Ensembl
ACAACUCCAAGGAUACGAGGCAAGGUAAGAUCAGAGUGAUGAGAGGACUUCCCUGGUGGUCUUGUGCAGGGUGUGU